AGCUCCAAUAGCGUAUAUUAAAGUUGUUGCAGUUAAAAAGCUCGUAGUUGGAUUUCUGGCAGGAGCGACCGGUCACACACUCUGUGUGUGAACUUGUGUUGUCUCUGGCCAUCCUUGGGGAGAUCCUGUUUGGCAUUAAGUUGUCGGGCAGGGGAUACCCAUCGUUUACUGUGAAAAAAUUAGAGUGUUUAAAGCAGGCUUAUGCCGUUGAAUAUAUUAGCAUGGAAUAAUAAGAUAGGACUUCGGAACUAUUUUGUUGGUUUGCGUUACGAAGUAAUGAUUAAUAGGGACAGUUGGGGGUAUUCGUAUUUCGUUGUCAGAGGUGAAAUUCUUGGAUUUCCGAAAGACGAACUACUGCGAAAGCAUUUACCAAGGAUGUUUUCAUUA
Molecule: ribosomal RNA, 387 nt
Filed under: Thalassiosira sp.
Lineage: Eukaryota; Bacillariophyta; Thalassiosirophyceae; Thalassiosirales; Thalassiosiraceae
Also listed under: 2 other names
Description: SSU rRNA
Rfam family: Eukaryotic small subunit ribosomal RNA
Source: RNAcentral